RNAcentral lists this non-coding RNA (19 nucleotides) under Arabidopsis thaliana (thale cress). Lineage: Eukaryota; Viridiplantae; Streptophyta; Magnoliopsida; Brassicales; Brassicaceae. The record is from RNAcentral.
GGUGAGGGACGACGAUUUG